This 3620-nucleotide long non-coding RNA is filed under the name Homo sapiens (human). RNAcentral's name for it is "HSALNT0204743". The record is from RNAcentral. Lineage: Eukaryota; Metazoa; Chordata; Mammalia; Primates; Hominidae.
CUCUAAGCAAAUUAAUGCAGAAAGAGAAAACCAAAUGAGACAGCCAGGUGGGAGGGGAUCCCCAGAAAUACUCAAACUGACCUUACUGGGGUGGAGACACAGAAGUUCAAGCCCUUUGCAGAGGGGAGAAACCUAGCUCCUCCUCUUCCUAUGUGGAACCUGGGAUUUAAACCGUGGGCAGGAAACACUCUAGUGGGCAACCCUGGACUUGCAGACAGUUCCUGUUUCUCACUUCUUUUUCACCCAGUAAAACCCUGCUUUACUCACCCUCCCCAACCAUCUGCAAGCCUAAAUUUUCAUGGCUGUGUGAUGGACAAAGACUUGUCUUUAGCUGAACUAAGGAAAAUUCCUUCAACGCAAAUACCACAUGUUCUCACUUAUUAGUGGGAGAAAAACACUGGGUAUGUAUGAACAUAAAGAUGAGAGCAAUAGAUCCUGAGUACUACUGGAGGGGAGAGGGUGGGAGGGAGUAAGGGCUGAAAAACGACCUAUUGGGUACUAUGCUCACUUCCUGGGUGACAGGAUCAAUUUGGUACUCCAAGCCUCAGCAUCACACAAUAUAUCCACGUAACAAACUUACACAUGUAUCCCCUGAAAAGAAAAGAAAAAAAAAAAUAGAAAAAAAAAAAAGAUUAAAAUAAAGAAAAAAACCUUAAAAAUAGAAAAAACCGUACAAAGUAAGAAUAUAAAGAAAGAAAAUAUUUUUCUACAGCUGUACGAUGUUUGUGUUUUAAACUAUUAAUAUGUUCUUACCAUUGUAGAGUCAAAAGUUUAAAAAAAAUUCAUAAAGAAAAAAGUUACAAUAAGCUAAGGUUAAUUUAUUAUGCCCUAGGCAUUCACAUUCACUCACCACUUACUGACUCACCCGGAGCAACUUCCAGCCCUGCAAGCUUCAUUUAUGAAAAGAAUAGCUAGCAUGAUGUAUUUCAAGUUUCUGGCAUGUCAUUUUCACUGAGACGUCUGAAGACCAGAAAGACUUUGCAGAAUUUCAAAACACUUAUUAGAUGGUUUUGAGACUAGCAGAUUAAUACACAUUUGGUUUUUCAAUGUACAGCCGUAAAUGGACAUGGAAUGACCAAAAAGCUGCAUUAAGCUUCAUGGAGACCAUUCAGUUUUCCACAGUAGUGUUUGGUGUAUACAGUAAAGAAGAUAGAGAGAAGGAGAGGAAGCUAGUGAGAGGGAGGGGGAGAAAAGAGGGACUUUACUGGGUUGCAUAAUGAUAGUCAAAAUAGUUUAAGGAAAGCAAAAUUUUAUAAUAAAUUAAUACAUUUAGCCUUUUUUAUUUCUCUUAAAAUUUUUGUUUGGACCCAGAAUAAAUUUUUAUUUAACUUAUAUUUCUCAGUGUUGACAUAAGGUACAAAUUCAUUAAAUUUUUACCUUUGCCAGAAUUACUCUUUUUACCUUUAUACACCAAUAAAAGGAUGAUAAAAUUUAAGUUUAAAGAGAUUACAUUUAGGCCAGGCACGGUGGCUCGUGCUUGUAAUCCCAGCACUUUGGGAGGCUGAGGCGGGCAGAUUACUUGAGGACAAGAGUUCAAGAUCAGCCUGGCCAACAUGGCGAAACCUCUCUCUACUAAAAAUUAGCUGGUGUUGGUGCACUUGCCUCUCGUCCCAGCUACUCGGGAGGCUGAGGCACGAGAAUGGUUUGAACUCAGGAGCCAGAGGUUACUGUGUGCUGAGAUUGUGCCACUGCAUUCCAGCCUGGGCAACAAAGUGACACUGUCUGAUAAAACAAACAAACAGACAGAAAGUUUACAUUUAAAUUUGUUUCUAUUUAUAACUCGUUCUCUUUAUUUUACCAAGUUCUAAAUAUAAUUUCUCUAAUUUAUUUGGGUAGAUAAGAUUAAUAAUUCAAGACUUGAUUCUAGAAAACAUAAUCAAAUUUGUUAAGUAACCUGAAUGUGGAUUUUGGUCACUCAAAUCUCUUUUCCUUAAUGUGUGUCAUAAAUGCAUAACAUGACAUUAUUACUAACAACUGUAAAAUACUCCACACAUCAUAAAGUUGAAUGUACAAUUCAUUGAAUUAGUAAAAAAUCCAUGUUAAUUUCAUAAAUGUUCCUAUAGACAACACACAUUUCACUAUAGAUGUGCAAGUACAUUAUCUUAUAUUGUUUGCUUGCUAACUAAUUAAAAUUAUUUUUUCUAUAAUAUUAUAGAAGAGGUUUAUGGCAAUAAUCAACCGGUCUCCUAAAUCUAUGGUUUCCUUGUUAUAUGUUUUGUGGAUAAAAUUGAUUGAAUAAAUGAUAUUUCUCAUAAUCAGUUAAAGGAUGGUAAAAUGCUUUUUCACAAUAUUUAUUCAAAAGUUGCAAAAUGAUCAAAUUAAUUUUCUUGAAAUUAAAACUAUAUAUUAACAUUAAAAAGUUAUCUUAAUCAAAAUGAUCCAAAAUUAAACCUAGACCUUAAGAGUAAUUUAUAACUGAAUUAAAUAUGGUACUAUAUAAUUAAAUUAAGUAUUGUUCUAUAAGUUGGCAUUUUAGAAGGCAUAAAAUGAAAUUAUUUACCCUUAAAUAAUUCAUAGCUUACUGGAAUAAAAUCCUUUUGUGAAAUUAGCUCAUUUGGUUUUUACUCAAUACUAUGUCCCUCAAUUAAACUUUUUGUCCAAUAUAUGUUCAUUUUAAACAAUGAACAUAUAUUUACUCUGAUGCCAAAAGUAUUUAAAUAAUUUUAUGUAUUUUCCAAAAACUUAGUCAGAAAAUAUAUCAAGGUAUAAUUUUAAUAAUUUACAUACAUCACAUAUCUAGCUUCUAUAAUACAAACUCCAUAUUAAUUUCUGUAUAUCACACUAUUAAUGAUUCACUCAAUUCAUUCUGAUUUUUUCUCAAGAGACCUUUGUUUAAUGUCUUAUAUUAAAUAAAAGAAUUUUAGUUUGCUAAUAACAAAAUCAUUAGAAAAACAUUUAAAGUAAUAAAUUGAUUUGUAUUCAUAUAGAAUUUAAAAAAAUUAAAGUUCUAUUUAUAAUUAUGAGACUAUGUUCAAAGCAGAAAAUAAUCUGUUGUAUAUAGAAACACAAACAUGUUUUUUAAAACUGAUUUCUAGUGAAAAUGAUUUGAGAUCAUCUUUAGAGGGCAGCAUCUAACUAGGGAAAGAGGUAUUUCAGGCUAAUAUGUUUGAGCCAUUGCAAUGGUUAUAUCUGGUUGUUGGAAGUUGAUAGCCUAUUAAAACAUCACCGAUUUCAUAAUUCCAAUAUCAGAAGACACUAAAUAACAGCAUCUGACAUUAGUCUCCAUGAAUAAUCCAGUUGAACGUGCACCUCAUUAAAUGUCACCUGUUCUUAAAGGCAUGUGUAUUUUUACAGUAGAUAUUACAGUAUCUCAGAACACAUUUAUUUUUACUCAAAGCAUGGUAAUACAUAGCAAUAGCAAUCUAGGCUUUAACCAAUAUGUAUUAUAAAAAUAAGAGUGGGAGAAUGAAUUUCCAAUAUAUUUUUUAAUCGUAUCAUAGCACAAUUUUUUUUAAUGCUGCAAAGGAAGAAGUAAAAUAAAUGAGGCUAUAUAUUCUUGUAAUCAAAUGAGACUAGGACUUUAAAACAUGGGUCUAAAGAGUAUUUUAUUCCAUAUCCUUUGCCUUAAAAUUAGAAAACAUAAAUGUUAGUUAAAAAUUACUGUGAAAUAUAUGAACUAA